Molecule: ribosomal RNA, 465 nt
Filed under: uncultured bacterium
Lineage: Bacteria
Description: bacterial SSU rRNA
Rfam family: Bacterial small subunit ribosomal RNA
Source: RNAcentral
CCUANGGGAGGCAGCAGUGGGGAAUAUUGGACAAUGGGCGCAAGCCUGAUCCAGCCAUGCCGCGUGGGUGAAGAAGGCCUUCGGGUUGUAAAGCCCUUUUGUCCGGAAAGAAAAGCACGGGGUUAAUACCUUCGUGUUCUGACGGUACCGGAAGAAUAAGCACCGGCUAACUUCGUGCCAGCAGCCGCGGUAAUACGAAGGGUGCAAGCGUUACUCGGAAUUACUGGGCGUAAAGCGUGCGUAGGUGGUGAGUUAAGUCUGUCGUGAAAUCCCCGGGCUCAACCUGGGAAUGGCGAUGGAUACUGGCUCGCUAGAGUGCGGUAGAGGAGAGUGGAAUUCCCGGUGUAGCAGUGAAAUGCGUAGAGAUCGGGAGGAACAUCAGUUGCGAAGGCGGCUCUCUGGACCAGCACUGACACUGAGGAACGAAAGCGUGGGGAGCAAACAGGAUUAGAUACCCGANUANUC